UGGGGAAUAUUGGACAAUGGGCGCAAGCCUGAUCCAGCCAUGCCGCGUGAGUGAUGAAGGCCUUAGGGUUGUAGAGCUCUUUUGUCCGGGAAGAUAAUGACCGUACCGGAAGAAUAAGCUCCGGCUAACUUCGUGCCAGCAGCCGCGGUAAUACGAAGGGAGCUAGCGUUGUUCGGAAUUACUGGGCGUAAAGCGCAUGCAGGCGGAUCGUUAAGUCGAGGGUGAAAUCCCAGGGCUCAACCCUGGAACUGCCUUCGAUACUGGCGACCUUGAGUCCGGGAGAGGUGAGUGGAACUCCGAGUGUAGAGGUGAAAUUCGUAGAUAUUAGGAAGAACACCGGUGGCGAAGGCGGCUCACUGGUCCGGUACUGACGCUGAGGUGCGAAAGCGUGGGGAGCAAACA
This 402-nucleotide ribosomal RNA is filed under the name uncultured bacterium. RNAcentral describes it as "bacterial SSU rRNA". It matches the Rfam family "Bacterial small subunit ribosomal RNA", at positions 355 to 774 of the family's 1533-position model. The record is from RNAcentral.